RNAcentral lists this ribosomal RNA (384 nucleotides) under uncultured prokaryote. RNAcentral's name for it is "bacterial SSU rRNA". It matches the Rfam family "Archaeal small subunit ribosomal RNA", at positions 341 to 725 of the family's 1478-position model. The record is from RNAcentral.
GCGAAAACUUUACAAUGCUGGCAACAGCGAUAAGGGAACCUCGAGUGCCAGGUUACAAAUCUGGCUGUCGAGAUGCCUAAAAAGCAUUUCAUAGCAAGGGCCGGGCAAGACCGGUGCCAGCCGCCGCGGUAACACCGGCGGCUCGAGUGGUAACCGUUAUUAUUGGGUCUAAAGGGUCUGUAGCCGGCCGGAUAAGUCUCUUGAGAAAUCCAGCAACUUAACUGUUGGGCUUUCAGGAGAUACUGUCUGGCUCGAGGCCGGGAGAGGUGAGAGGUACUUCAGGGGUAGGGGUGAAAUCUUGUAAUCCUUGAAGGACCACCAGUGGCGAAGGCGUCUCACCAGAACGGACCUGACGGCAAGGGACGAAAGCUAGGGGCACGAACC